RNAcentral lists this ribosomal RNA (267 nucleotides) under uncultured fungus. RNAcentral describes it as "partial 18S ribosomal RNA". It matches the Rfam family "Eukaryotic small subunit ribosomal RNA", at positions 37 to 572 of the family's 1831-position model. Lineage: Eukaryota; Fungi. The record is from RNAcentral.
UCAAAGAUUAAGCCAUGCAUGUCUAAGUAUAAGCAAUUAUACCGCGAAACUGCGAAUGGCUCAUUAUAUAAGUUAUCGUUUAUUUGAUAAUACUUUACUACUUGGAUAACCGUGGUAAUUCUAGAGCUAAUACAUGCUAAAAAUCCCGAUACGGGGAGGUAGUGACAAUAAAUACUGAUACGGGGCUCUUUUGGGUCUCGUAAUUGGAAUGAGAACAAUUUAAAUCCCUUAACGAGGAACAAUUGGAGGGCAAGUCUGGUGCCAGCA